CCUCUCUUCUUAUAAACUACCCAGUCUCAGGUACUUCUUUAUAGCAGUGUGAGAACAGACUAAUACAAUGACUACUGAUCAUAGUGGAUUGGCCACUGGAGAGAAAGCUGAUGGAGCAGAGAGCACUUGGGAAGAAACCAUUAAACACUGAAAGAGGAAGAGGUGGUGGAGAUACAUUGGAGAGAACAAAUACAAUAGACUUAUCUGAGGUCAAAUCAACAGAACCCAGCAACGGAUCAGACAGAGAGAGAAAGCAGAAAGAGUGAAAUAAAACUCCACGGUUCUAGCCUGAGUGAUUAAGGGCAGAGCAAUGUUCUGGACCUUGCUGGGAGAUUCAGGAAGAAGAGGGAAAUCUGGGUUUAUUUCAAGGAGGGGUGGGAAGGAGAGAUGAGAUGAAGGAGGACCAGGAAAAUAAAAUAUUUCAAGUUAGCUAUGCUGCAUUGGAAGUGCUUACCGCAUAUCCAGAAAAAGUUUGCCUACCCUUGCACCGGAAGCAGGAGGGAAAGAGAUGGGCUUGUUGGAAACCAGGAAAGGAGAAAUUGACAGAGCUGCAGGGAGCAAUCCCUUUCCACCUUCACCCAGGACUGAGAUCAUGUCAUACAAAAGCCCUGUGUUGUUCAGAGGACCAGAGGGGCUGGAGUGGAGUGAAGUGGUGUGAUCUCGGCUUACUGCAA
Molecule: long non-coding RNA, 674 nt
Filed under: Homo sapiens (human)
Lineage: Eukaryota; Metazoa; Chordata; Mammalia; Primates; Hominidae
Description: HSALNT0356459
Source: RNAcentral